This 441-nucleotide ribosomal RNA is filed under the name uncultured bacterium. RNAcentral describes it as "bacterial SSU rRNA". It matches the Rfam family "Bacterial small subunit ribosomal RNA", at positions 28 to 414 of the family's 1533-position model. The record is from RNAcentral.
GACGAACGCUGGCGGCGUGGAUUAGGCAUGCAAGUCGAACGGUAGAUAUCCUUCGGGGUAUUGAGAGUGGCGAACGGGUGAGUAACACGUAGGUAAUCUACCCUCAAAUCGGGGACAACCCAGGGAAACUUGGGCUAAUACCGGAUGAGUGCAGCACCUAAAUCAUCCAUACGGAAUCUGGUUAAGAUUGGGUUUUGUAUGGUUGGGUGAUUUAGGUGCUGUAUAAAAGAUGGCUUCGGCUGUCGUUUGAGGAUGAGCCUGCGCUCUAUUAGUUAGUUGGUGAGGUAAUGGCUCACCAAGGCGAUGAUAGAUAGGCGGCCUUAACGGGUGGUCGCCCACACUGGGAUUGAGAUACGGCCCAGACUCCUACGGGAGGCAGCAGUGGGGAAUAUUGCACAAUGGCGAAAGCCCGAUGCAGCAACGCCGCGUGAGCGAUGAAGG